Molecule: ribosomal RNA, 459 nt
Filed under: uncultured bacterium
Lineage: Bacteria
Description: partial 16S ribosomal RNA
Rfam family: Bacterial small subunit ribosomal RNA
Source: RNAcentral
CCUACGGGUGGCAGCAGUGAGGAAUAUUGGUCAAUGGUCGGGAGACUGAACCAGCCAAGCCGCGUGAGGGAGGAAGGUACAGAGUAUCGUAAACCUCUUUUGUCAGGGAACAAAGACUGGGACGCGUCCCCGGAUGAGUGUACCUGAAGAAAAAGCAUCGGCUAACUCCGUGCCAGCAGCCGCGGUAAUACGGAGGACGUGAGCGUUAUCCGGAUUUAUUGGGGUUAAAGGGUGCUCAGGAGGUCGGUUAAGUUAGGGGUAAAAGCCCGGGGCUCACCCCCGGCCCGCCGUUGAAACUGGCAGUCUCGAGUUGGAGAGAAGUAUGCGGAAUGCGCGGUGUAGCGGUGAAAUGCAUAGAUAUCGCGCAGAACUCCGAUUGCGAAGGCAGCAUGCCGGCUCCACACUGACGCUGAGGCACGAAAGCGUGGGUAUCGAACAGGAUUAGAUACCCCAGUAGUC